Molecule: ribosomal RNA, 501 nt
Filed under: Triticum aestivum (bread wheat)
Lineage: Eukaryota; Viridiplantae; Streptophyta; Magnoliopsida; Poales; Poaceae
Description: partial small subunit ribosomal RNA
Source: RNAcentral
AUGGCGGCGGCCUUGGCGGCGGGCGUCGGCGUGCUGCUGCCGUUCCCGUUCUACUGGGCGCUGUGGACGCGCCCGCAGCGGUGGGUGGACCUGUGCGGCCCGGGCGCCGACCCGUGCCGCCGCAUGGCGCAGGUCUCCCACGUCCUCAAGGCGCUCCAGCUCCUCGCCCUCGCCUCCGUCGCCUCCUUCUCCUGGCCCCCUCCUCUCUGCGCCCUCCCCCUCCUCGCCUUCGGCCAGUACCUCAACUUCAAGGUGUACCAGCUGCUGGGCGAGUCGGGUACCUACUACGGCGUCCGGUUCGGGAAGAAGAUCCCGUGGGUGACGGAGUUCCCCUUCGGCUACAUCAAGGACCCGCAGUAUGUGGGGAGCAUCCUGAGCCUCGUGGCGCUGCUGUGCUGGGUUCCCUUCCAGUAUGUUGUGUUGUGGUGCCUCGGCUAUGUUUUCAUGAUUUUGGUGGAAGACAAGGAAGAUCCAGCCACCCGUGCCAAGUUGCUCUCCUGA